This 71-nucleotide transfer RNA is filed under the name Loxodonta africana (African savanna elephant). It matches the Rfam family "tRNA". From Rfam's summary of the family: Transfer RNA (tRNA) molecules are approximately 80 nucleotides in length. Lineage: Eukaryota; Metazoa; Chordata; Mammalia; Proboscidea; Elephantidae. The record is from Rfam by way of RNAcentral.
UCAUUAGUGGUUCAGCAAUAGAAUUCUCACCUUCCAUGUGGGAGACCUGGGUUCGAUUCCCAGCCAAUGCA